GUGGAGGUUGUAGUAGAAAAAAGAAGAAUUUAGCUACACUGGGGUCUUGUCUUCCUCUGUUCACACCUGGAAAUCUGCUGUCUGUGGGAACCUGUGAGAUCUGGAAGAGCUUGAAAGAGCUCCUGGAUCCUUAUCAUUUUUGAUGUGUGCCCUCGCAGACUGGUGUGAAAAAUGUGGGCAGAUUUGGAAGAUUUUCCAUCCUCAAUCAGACUCUGACCAUGGGUUCAGGAUGGGUUUUCCAAAUGGCUUACUUGUUUUAUAACACCUAACAGGUGAGUAUAACAUGGUAGACCAUUGGGUGACCUCCCUGAGAGGCGACCAAACAGCUGGUCCCCUCCAGUUCCAUUGGGCAGUUCCACAGAGAGAGUUACUGAGCUUAGCUGGCUUGCAUUAGGUACUUGACAAUGUGCAUCUGGCCAAGGUGCCCACCAGUUGACCAGCAGCAUGAAGAAGAAAUGGUGUGAGUUCAUGCUCUGGGCCUGUAGGCCUCAUGCAUGUGCUUCAUGCAUUUGGGAAGAAGCAGCCCCACACCAUAAAACCUCCCUGAAAGCCAUUGAGGUACCUCUCUAAAAACCAUAAUAGACUGUGCUGAAAGCCUAACUUUGACUGAUGUUAGGUUUGGGACUCUACCCAGGUAAGAAUCCAGGCAGCAAGGAGACCGUAGAAGGCAGAUGACCCAGAGUAGGGCCAAACUGUUUACCAGCAAGUGUGUUUUCGAAAAUCUUCCUUAACUGGUCAUGGCAGCGGAAAAUACCCUGCUGUUAAACGCAUCUGCAAUCUGCUGCUCUCCCAGUCCACCUACAAAAAUUUUGACCUUUAAAGAAAUGAUGGAGAAGCUGGUGAUUUUUUCGAUGGCAUUGAAGCUCAGUCUAUUUUAGGCUCCAAGGCAAUUGCAGCCCUCUUUGCUCCCUAUUUCGCAUUACUUUUAAGUCUUGUUCUGGCCACUAUGAACCCUUCAGCACUUCUCCCUCUACAAUCACUCAAGUCAAGAUCUGUGAUCUGUGAUUUGCAGAUGACAUGCACAUUUCUUGGCUGACGGUUGCUGAAGCAGUUUGCAAACCUAAGGCAGUUAAAUGGGGAGGGGAUAGAAGAGCAGAUUACAACUAUAAUGCCACCCUAAAUUUCAAUUUUCAUGCAAAUGUAUAACUGAUUUCUCAUUAUUUUGAGUGAAGGGACAGUAGCGGUUGGUGUGAAUUACCAUAUUCAUAUUUUGAUGACCAAACACUUGGCUGAUUUCUAUUGUUUGUCACUCCUGUGAAACCACAGUACUUUAGAAACCCAUGUUGGGGGUAAGAUGUUAUUAACAGCACUCCCUCCCCCCAAAAAUAUCCAAACACAAAGACAAAAUCUUAGGAUCCUCUCAUUAUGAAAAUCUGUUACAGCGAUGCAUCAAAAAACACUCAGCUUCCUGAGUUUUAGAGCAAUAAUGGCUGUAUUUUGGACCAGGUUUCAUUUGAAUAUCUGCAAAAUAUGUAAAUUACCAAAUCUUUGAGAAAAGUUAUUUCAGUGUCAUUUACUGAAAUAUUCACUCAUUUAAAAAAGACCAUGUUAAUGAAACCUAGGCUUAUCUGAUUUUUAAGCAGACAUGAUAUGUGUGUAAAUGUAAUGUGAUCUGAAAGACACAUUAAUGAGAUUGCCAUCAGAAGGAUUACUGAGAUUCUGUGUUUAGACACCGAGAAAAGCCAAAUGGGUGUAUCAAGCACCCAUUUCUAAUCUUCAAAAGCAAAUUUAUUGAAGUGUCUCAAUUUUGCCACACACCCUAACAUCUGCAUAUGGGACCAGAUUCCUAAUCCUGUCACACUGUGAUGCUGCAGAUUAAGAGAAUGUAUAAUCAAUGCCUCUGUCGCUAUACAUAAAUAUAGACUGCUAAAUCAAGUGUGGGCUUUACAACAGAGACUCCUUAUCCUCAGCAGAUUUUGCACUAAACAUUGCUGAAAUCCUGGAAAAUUAAAAACAACAACAACAACAACAAAAAACAGUGAUAGUCUCUGGUAUUUUCUUCCUUUAUCUAAUUAAAGAAAUUUAUCUGUAAGUGGAAGCUACCAUAUAAAUGUUUCAUCAGUAAACACGAAGCAAAGAAAAGGAAGUUCAGACUUAAAGAACACCCCACCAUGUGUCAGACAUUGUGUUAGAUGCUUAACAUACAUUAUUCCAUUUAAUAAUAAAUCAACACAAAUAAGUAUUCAUUGAGCUUUCUCAACAUGUCAGUGUUCUAUGCUGGUUAUAAUUCUUCAAAUAUUUCUAUGUAUUUGUACCCCUUACCCCUUUACCACCAUUUUUAAGUGUUUCUAACACUAUAUUAAUUAUACAAAUGUUUGCAAAGAAAUCUCUGAGAACUUUGUAGAUUCCCAAAUCCACAAAACUCCUACAAGGAAACAAGUAGAGAAUUAAGGUCAUGGUAUCCAGUUAAAUGACUCAUGCCUGCCUCCCAGUUCAGGCAAUUGAGAUUUGUGCCUCAUCAAAAUUAUAAAUUACUCCGUGUUAUGGACUUUCAGGGUCAUUUAAGUACAUUCAAAAUGAUGAAUGUUAAAUCCACAACUGCCAGGGGCUUAUUGUACCGUGCAUGUCAUCUUGACACUCAAUUGUUACUUUUAGUGACAAUCAAAAUAAUUUUCAUUUAAAUUACCUGCCACAACCCUUUCCAGUACUUCAGAUUUCUGACUAAUCUGUACUUUAUUUAGCCUUUUGAGUUCCAUUUGUUCAAAGUCAAUGUAAAGCCUAGAUGUUAUCACAGCUCCUCCAGGAAAUUGGAGAAAUAUCAUUAGAGAUGACAAUAUUCACAAAGCACUGGGGAAAGGUUGGGGUAUGUCCCCUUGAAAUUUUCCAAAGAAAGAAAAAACAUACAGUGGUAGAAAAUAUUAUUGAACUUUUAAAGUGUAUAAAGUCUUCGAUUUAAAUUGUGAAAUAUAAGUCACAGUUCUAUUGAUUUUGUUACUGGAUGAAAAAUCACAAAUUUUCCAUCAAAGUGGAGAAUAAAAACAAAGAAAGCUAUGAUCACAUUGGAGUGCCUCUAUCACUGAUAUCAUAUCUACCUGACUACGUCAUGUUUGCUUUCCUGAAAGGACUUGUGUGUCCAUAUUAUCACGUGUUGACUUUAGAAUUGCUUGCAACACAGAUUUUAAAAAUGUGAAUCCAAUUCUCUCAGUCUACGACUGACUUCUAUUUUUGGUAAAAGCAAUCAUGUAAAGAUAGGUCCAAAUAAAAGCCUUUCUUUCUGUAUCCUUGGAGAACAAUUUCUCAGAGACUACCGCUUUGACAGCCCUGUCUAUAGUUCCUCCUCCAUCUGCAUCCUUCCUUCUCUUCUACCAUUACCAUUUCCUUUAUGUGGUUCUGAAUUCGUAGGAGGGGUCCAAAAGGAGUUCCAAGUAUUUCAGGGCUGGGAAAACCAACCAAGUUUCAUGCUUUAGAACCAAUGACAAUGACUCGUGGGCCUUCACCAAAGCCCAAUAUUUCGCUUGCUGCAUCUAUGCUCAGUAACUUUUAUCCCAAGACUCAACAACAUGCCCAGAGUAGGUGGCAAAAAAGACUACGCACUUUCUGGUUAUAAGGCCCAAGAUGGGAAGGAUGUCAUUUACUUGCCUGAGUUGCUUCAUCUGCUACCAUAACUGAGAUGGGACUGCUCUGCUCUCCAUGUUUACUUGGAGAGUAGGUUGAGAUGAUCUGCAAUACUGGGAUUAGCAGGUGAAAUAGUUUGGUUAAAACAGCAGAAAUGCCUCUGGGACAGAAACACCAGCACUAGCCCUGAUCACAGAUCAGAUCCUAGCAAGAUUCUCUUGGGUGGAAGCUAUACCAAUAUAGCAAUUUACUUGGUGUCUGUAAGAGUUAAUAUAAGCUACCUCCAGUGGUGCUCAAAGUGCUCAGCAGAGUGGCCUGGGCUUUGGGGAAUUGGAGAGUUCCCCUCUUCAUGUGUUCUUAUGUAUAUAUCAUUUGCUAUAAAAGUCAGAGAUCAAGCAGGUCACUUUUACAUGAAUUAGUUCAUGUGCCUAAUUCCUAAAUUCCACACAUCCUUCUUUUUUUUUUUGCCCCAAGAGAAGCUCAGAGAAAUAAAGAAGCUAACCCUGAGUGCCAGGGAGUUGAAAGAUUGUAAGUCUCAUGUAUCCUGGUUUCCUGGGCCAGAAAAAUAAGCACCGUUUUGCAAACAAAAUAUCUUUAGCCUUCAGAAAAAUGUUCCUAGCAGGCAAACAUGUGACUGUCCUCCUCUAUAUAAAUCAGUAUCUACAUCGUGUCCCAAUCAUGGGCAUUUUGAUCUGUUGGUGCCCUAACUUACAUUCAAAGAAUGCAUUUCACAAAAAUAUUCCAUCAAAUCUAUAAGCAAACUAUAGGCAAGGAGGACUAAUUAAUGACUACCUGAAUAUAUCUUUGAUUGUUUUUUUUAAUUUCUUUGAACAUCAGGGUUAUGAGCACGGAUUCAUUUGCAUUACUGACUUAACUAAUUUAUCUGAUUUUAAGGUUUACCAUUACAGAAAAUUAGUUCAGAAUUGUUCCUGGUUUCAAGUUCCAUUUUUCUCUGGAAAUAACAGAUCACAGAAGAGUUUACACAAGUUAAAUAAAUGUAACCAAAUAUAGUCGUACUUCCUGAAACUGUGAAUGAUCUAGUAAUACUGAGGAAGCAAUUACAAUCUUAAUUGGUAUCAAAUUAUAGGAAAUUAGUUUCAUGGUAAAUAUUCAUUCUCUCUGUUGUCCAAUCUAUUAUUUACGUUAGAGAUGUGACAUUUAGCCUGCUAGAAGGAAUCCAAUUUCAUUUGUUUUUAUAAAGCAUUUUAAUUGAGGAUUAAAGAACAAUCCUUAGUGAGGAUCGCAGAAGGAGAGUUUUUCUGUUUUGUUCAGAUAACACCAAAACAAAUGCCAAGCAUCAUCUAUCUUGAAUGUUAAAGCCCUCUGAAUAAAAAUUAGUCUUAGUUGUUCAAGCACCAUUUGAGUUAGUUUUAAAAGACAACCACAAGAAGAAGCAGGUUUAGUGAAGAAUUUGGUAAAGUCAGUAAAGGGAGUGUUUGGUUAUCUUUUGCUGCAUAAUUAAGCUCCAUAAUUUAGUCACUGAAAUAAUUAUUAAUUAUUGUUAUCUCUCAUGGUUCUUUGGGUUGACUGGGCUCAGAUGUGUGGUUUUAACUUGGAAUUUCUUGUGAGUUUUCAGCUGAGGCUGGAGUUAUCUGAACUGACUGAGUUGGAAAUCUAAAGUGGAUUCUUUAUUCUCAUGGCUGAUGCCCCAGUUGAGAUGGCUGGAGCAGCUGGAUGCUGGCUGGGCAUCUCUCUCUCUCUCCACAUGGCUAGCCUAGGUUUUCUCACAGCAUGGAGGUUUCAAGACAGUUUGAUUUUUACAAGGGUGUUGAUACCUUCUAGAGCAAGCAUUCCACAAGAGCCAGGCAGAAGUUGUAAGACACCUGUGAUCCAGCCCUGGAGUCUAGGCAGCAUCAGUCUGCUGUAUUCUACCAGUCACAGCAGUCACAGGCUAGCACAGAUUCAAUAGGAUGAAGCAACAGUCUCCACCUCCAGAUGGUGGAAAAGUGUGUAUAGAAGGAAGGGAGAAAUUGAUGGUGAUCAUCUUGAGGACAAACUACCACAAGGAGAAUAAACAAUAUUUAUACUUAUAAUGUGUCUAUCAGAUUACUUUGGAGGCUGUUCCCACUUAGAUUCGUCAUAUAGAAGAUGUGGAUAUAGAAACAUGCAGAUAAAUCAGUCAAUGCCAAGUGUUGGGGAAACUUCCAUAGCCUGCAGGUUCCCACAGAGAGGAUAGCACUUCCACUCCUCUCCCAUGAGGGAAAAAUAAAGGAGAAAAGCUUUCAGCCUCUCACCAUAAGCUCAUUCAGUCUUCCCCUUGGGAGAGAAAUGACUUACCUGAGGAAUGUGCUUGGAAGUAGUUGUGCUGGUGAAACUCAGCCUCUGUGGGUUUCUCUCUCUUUCAGAGUCAGCUCUUGUCAGGAUGCACAUUUAUUUUUCCCUUUGGAGGAGGCCUCAGUCCAGCUCAGCUAAGGGCACAUCUGCCUAAUUCAGGACUGGGAAAGGCUUUUACAUCAAAUAUUGAUAAUGAUAAUAAUAAUAAACACAUUUUGAGCACUUACCAUGUCUCAAGCACUGCUCUAGAGCUUUCCAUGAAAGAACCCCUCUAAUCUUCAGAACAAUCCUGUGAGAACUGGCUGAAGUUUACUUUUUGGUACUCCAGAGACCUAGCUUCUUCUUGCCUUCUUCCAGUGUGGUCUAUUUAAUCUCCUGUCGUGUGGGAAAUUAUGUUCAAAAUCUCCGUGAUCCUCUGUCCAUAGUAAGUUAUGCAUGUAGUGACAAGUACAUGCCACAAGGUCUUGAGAUUAUAUCUGCAAUGUGUUGCUGCUGGCUGUUGAUCAAGAUAGGCUGGAAGAAAAACAUUAUUUUCAGGUGUGAAAAACCGUCACCUUUAUCAAAUAAUUCUUCUUGCAUUUUUCCCAAGACGUUGUAGCCUAUUUAAACUUGGGAGGUUAAGUUUUGUAGCAUUCAUUAUGACUGAAAAUUUAGUUCACACAAUCAUGAUGCUCUCUUUAUUAGGUGUUACCGUUAAACAAUAUUAAAAUA
This is a long non-coding RNA of Cercocebus atys (sooty mangabey), 6540 nucleotides long. RefSeq lists it as uncharacterized. Lineage: Eukaryota; Metazoa; Chordata; Mammalia; Primates; Cercopithecidae. The record is from RefSeq and is a predicted model, not a curated record. The transcript has 3 exons.